This 262-nucleotide ribosomal RNA is filed under the name uncultured bacterium. RNAcentral describes it as "partial 16S ribosomal RNA". It matches the Rfam family "Bacterial small subunit ribosomal RNA", at positions 1239 to 1500 of the family's 1533-position model. The record is from RNAcentral.
ACAACGAGAAGCGAGCCUGCGAAGGCAAGCGGAUCUCUUAAAGCUGUUCUCAGUUCGGACUGCAGUCUGCAACUCGACUGCACGAAGCUGGAAUCGCUAGUAAUCGCGAAUCAGAAUGUCGCGGUGAAUACGUUCCCGGGCCUUGUACACACCGCCCGUCACACCAUGAGAGUCGGGAACACCCGAAGUCCGUAGCCUAACCGCAAGGGGGGCGCGGCCGAAGGUGGGUUCGAUAAUUGGGGUGAAGUCGUAACAAGGUAAC